Molecule: long non-coding RNA, 524 nt
Organism: Esox lucius (northern pike)
Lineage: Eukaryota; Metazoa; Chordata; Actinopteri; Esociformes; Esocidae
Exons: 2
Source: RefSeq, a predicted model, not a curated record
UCUGUUGCUGAUUUGCUGUAUGAUGUUUAGAUCAGAGAAUACUUAUACUGAACUGAUACACAUCUGCAUUGUUUUAUGAUUCCAUAAUGUACUUUUAGGAUCGACCAAUCUGUGACGGUGAAGGGUAACGUCAGAUCUUCUGGGCUGGUUAGAUAAACACCUCAGCUGUGGAAGAUUGCAAGCUGAAGUGACAAAUCAUGGAACGGAGAUGGGUCUAAACGUCAUGAGAGUAAAUACAAGAUGUGCCGUUGACAACGUCUUUAGUAAAGUUGCUGAGCUGCAGCAUCAGAAGAUAGGGGUAACAUCACAGUUACCGCAGGAGCGUCAUGGCGGCGUCAAAUGAGAACGACACGGACACGGUGACGAUCCGGUGAGGCCUUGUAACUACAGACCGCCUUCAUUGGGGCUCAACAGACAGACGGUCGGCUCAAAGCCGGAGCCAGUUUCCACCCACCGCCUCAGGGCAGAUUACAACUACUGGCCAUGUCCUUAAGGAAGUCAAUUAAAAACAUUAUUCAAAACUG